GAAAUGCGAUAACUAGUGUGAAUUGCAGAAUUUCGUGAAUCAUCGAGUCUUUGAACGCACAUUGCGCCCCCUGGUAUUCCGGGGGGCAUGCCUGUCCGAGCGUCAUUGCUGCCCAUCAAGCACGGCUUGUGUGUUGGGUCGUCGUCCCCUCUCCGGGGGGGACGGGCCCCAAAGGCAGCGGCGGCACCGCGUCCGAUCCUCGAGCGUAUGGGGCUUUGUCACCCGCUCUGUAGGCCCGACCGGCGCUUGCCGAACGCAAAUCAAUCUUUUUCCAGGUUGACCUCGGAUCAGGUAGGGAUACCCGCUGAACUUAAGC
RNAcentral lists this unclassified non-coding RNA (316 nucleotides) under plant metagenome. RNAcentral describes it as "partial contains 5.8S ribosomal RNA, internal transcribed spacer 2, and large subunit ribosomal RNA". The stretch from base 1 to 105 matches the Rfam family "5.8S ribosomal RNA", at positions 50 to 154 of the family's 154-position model. The record is from RNAcentral.